Molecule: long non-coding RNA, 1823 nt
Organism: Silurus meridionalis
Lineage: Eukaryota; Metazoa; Chordata; Actinopteri; Siluriformes; Siluridae
Exons: 3
Source: RefSeq, a predicted model, not a curated record
UCUUCUUUUCACCCUUGAACUUUGUGGCAUUCUGUUUAACCACCUUUACACUUGACCAUUUAAAGCAAUAACCACUAACGUCUGGUUCUUAUACUUUUAUCCAAACAACCCACAACAACUAAAUAAUUGUUCCUGCACUCCCCCAGGCUUAGCCAGAGUGGGAACUUAACCAGCAUCAAGGAUACAAAUGAAAUGCUCUGACCAUGAUCAAUAAAUAAGAUGCUGCCUAUCUCUCCAACCAAAUUACAGGAAAAGACGUGCCAUGUUAACAUCCUGGUGAAGAGCAAGUGGUGCUGAACGAAGACCAGGAAGAUGGUGUAGGAUCUCGGCUAUAUGGACAAUGGGAUGCUUCUCACUGUUGUAGGCAGGGAAGUGCUUCUGCUCCCUGAAGGCCAGCAGAAAGUAUAAAGGAGAGCUGCUUCUUGCAAACCAUUUGGGUCCUCACCCAGGAGAGUCUACAUGAUGCCCACUGGACUAGGGCGAAUGAAUUGUUUUAUUAAUUUGUAUUCUUAUUUUGUAUUACUUAUACUAAAUAUUGUAUACAGUGUUUUGACUUGUUUUUGUAUAUUUUAUUUUUUUUGAUAGUGUCUACAGCUCUAACAUCAUUAGGAGAUAUAGUCAAUAUCAAACACAGUAACAACUUAAGAACAAAUUCAUGGUACAACGGUCAUUUGGAACGUAACUCGUUCAUAAGGUGGGGAGCGUCUGUACAUGUAUUUUGCAUUUUAUUCUAUUUUUUUUUUUUUUUAUUUAACACCAAAUAUAUAAUAAUGUCGUAAUGUGUGUGAGAAACAGACUAAAAAAUAAUUCUUAUCUACUUUGUCCCCCUUUUGUGUUAGUUUUGCCUGCAGUUAGGAGACCAGUGGCCUUUUCCUAAAAGCUUGUCUUUGCAGACACCAGCAGGUCCCCCACAUUCAGAAGAUGGUUGUGGAUCCAUGUAAGUACACAACAAAAAUAAGACCUUAUUUGGAAAUUGUCAAUCGUCUAAUAUUGUACUGCUACUUCCACAAACCCUCUCUGGAUCCUUUGAAUAUCAACCACAAAUAGAAAUCGCUUCCAAACUCCAAAAUUAUAACGUGACUUCAAAGCAGCAUGUUCCUUUUAUAUUUUCUGUAGUUUUUGAUAUUGUGAACCACAGUAAAUUCUCAGGGGUCUUGGAAAUGACUGCAAAGAUGGCAAAAAUCUCCUACCUACAAGGUGAGGAUAUGUUUGAGUUUGGAGCUGGAAGCCAUGGAAAAGCAGAUCUGCAACCUCCAGGUGAAGCAGCCAUCGUACUCCCACCAUCUCAACUCCAUGUGUUUCUUUGCCCAGGCCUAGCAAACCUAUGACGUAGCUCACCCAGGUGGUGUUCCCUCCUGCACUGGGGCACCACAGACCUGGGUCCAGCACUGAAAGAUGCAGGGACAUCUCCCUGUCUGCUGACUUGGAGAUCUCCACCCAGAAUUGCUUCGUCUAUGCUGGCAUAAACGACCUCAGGCAAAGGCAGACGGAGAUCCUGAAGUGACUCUUGGUUGAAAUGGUACAAAGCACAUUUACCUACAAUGAGGAUUGUUUCAGAACCGCUUCACAUACCAAGGAGGAAUUGAGUGGUUCAGUAGACUUUUUGCUUUAAAUAUAUGCUGCAGUUAUGGUGUCAAGAACACAAACUGCCCUUUUCUGAUAUCUGGAAUGUUUCCUGGGAGUGUCCAAUGCUCUUCCACCCUGAUGGCCUGCACCUGAGCAGAAAUGGACUGGUAUCCCUCUAACAUCAGCUGAGAAUAAGCUUGGACUGUAAUAACUGUCUACAACAAUGGCUUAGGACAGCAGUUUUGCAAGUGCCAAUG